This 119-nucleotide ribosomal RNA is filed under the name Saimiri boliviensis boliviensis (Bolivian squirrel monkey). Lineage: Eukaryota; Metazoa; Chordata; Mammalia; Primates; Cebidae. The record is from RNAcentral.
GUCUCCGGGCACACCACCCCCAACGCGCCCGGUCUCCUCUGAUCUUGGAAGCAAAGCAGGGUCGGGUCUGGCUAGUACUUGGACGGGAGAAGGCGAGAGGAUCGAGUGUUCAGGGCACA